Molecule: ribosomal RNA, 481 nt
Filed under: uncultured bacterium
Lineage: Bacteria
Description: partial 16S ribosomal RNA
Rfam family: Bacterial small subunit ribosomal RNA
Source: RNAcentral
GAUGAACGCUGGCGGCGUGCUUAACACAUGCAAGUCGAACGAAGCACUUUAUUUGAUUUCCUUCGGGACUGAUUAUUUUGUGACUGAGUGGCGGACGGGUGAGUAACGCGUGGGUAACCUGCCUUGUACAGGGGGAUAACAGUUGGAAACAGCUGCUAAUACCGCAUAAGCGCACGGCAUCGCAUGAUGCAGUGUGAAAAACUCCGGUGGUAUAAGAUGGACCCGCGUUGGAUUAGCUAGUUGGUGAGGUAACGGCCCACCAAGGCGACGAUCCAUAGCCGACCUGAGAGGGUGACCGGCCACAUUGGGACUGAGACACGGCCCAAACUCCUACGGGAGGCAGCAGUGGGGAAUAUUGCACAAUGGGCGAAAGCCUGAUGCAGCGACGCCGCGUGAGCGAAGAAGUAUUUCGGUAUGUAAAGCUCUAUCAGCAGGGAAGAUAAUGACGGUACCUGACGAAGAAGCACCGGCUAAAUACGUG